RNAcentral lists this ribosomal RNA (1414 nucleotides) under uncultured bacterium. RNAcentral describes it as "bacterial SSU rRNA". It matches the Rfam family "Bacterial small subunit ribosomal RNA". The record is from RNAcentral.
AGGAUGAACGCUGGCGGCGUGCUUAAUACAUGCAAGUCGAACGAAGCUCCUUUUCUUCGGAUGAGGAGUCUUAGUGGCGAACGGGUGCGUAACGCGUUGGUAACCUGCCCCAAAGAGGGGGAUAACAGUUCGAAAGGACUGCUAAUACCCCAUACGAUCAUCAGGGUUAGAUACUUGAUGAUUAAAGGAGUAAUCCGCUUUGGGAGGGGCCUGCGUCCCAUCAGCUAGUUGGUAGGGUAAUGGCCUACCAAGGCGAUGACGGGUAGGGGACCUGAGAGGGUGGCCCCCCACACUGGCACUGAAAUACGGGCCAGACACCUACGGGUGGCAGCAGUAGGGAAUAUUGGACAAUGGGCGAAAGCCUGAUCCAGCACGCCGCGUGCACGAUGAAGGUCUUCGGAUUGUAAAGUGCUUUUAAGGGAGAUGAGAAAGGACAGUAUCCCUUGAAUAAGCCUCGGCGAACUACGUGCCAGCAGCCGCGGUAAAACGUAGGAGGCAAGCGUUAUCCGGAUUUAUUGGGCGUAAAGCGCGUGCAGGCUGUUUGGAAAGUUGGAUGUGAAAGCUCCUGGCUUAACUGGGAGAGGUCGUUCAAAACUACCAAACUAGAGAAUGGGAGAGGGAAGUGGAAUUCCGGGUGUAGUGGUGAAAUGCGUAGAUAUCCGGAGGAACACCAGUGGCGAAAGCGGCUUCCUGGACCAUUUCUGACGCUUAGACGCGAAAGCUAGGGGAGCGAACGGGAUUAGAGACCCCGGUAGUCCUAGCUGUAAACGAUGUAGACUUGGCGUUGGCGGAGUUAAAUCUGCCAGUGCCGGAGCAAACGCGUAAGUCUACCCCUGGGGGACUACCACCCCAGGUUAAACUCCAAGGAAUUGACGGGGACCCCCCAACACGGAACGGGGGUUUAUCAUGCUCCCACGAAGAACGUUACCAGGGUUUGACAUGCAAGUGGUAGGAAACUGAAAGGGGACCGACCCUUCGGGGACUUGCCAGGGCUGCAUGGCUGUCGUCAGCUCGUGUCGUGAGAUGUUCGGUUAAGUCCGCUAACGAGCGCAACCCUCACUGUGUGUUAUACGUGUCACACGGGACUGCCGGUUUUAAGCCGGAAGGAAGGUGGGGGAUGACGUCAAGUCAGCAUGGCCUUUAUAUCUUGGGCUACACACACGCUACAAUGGUCGGUACAAUAGGUUGCCAGCCGCGAGGCGGACCAAUCCAUAAAGCCGCUCAGUUCAAUUGUAGCUGCAAUCGCCUGCAUGAAGAUGGAGUUGCUAGUAACCGCAGGUCAGCAAUACUGCGGUGAAUACGUUCCCGGGUCUUGUACACACCGCCCGUCACGUCAUGGAAGCUGGCAACACCUGAAGCCGGUAUCCUAACCGCAAGGAAGGAGCCGUCGAAGGUGGGGUCGGUGACUGGGACG